Molecule: ribosomal RNA, 502 nt
Filed under: Evaniscus marginatus
Lineage: Eukaryota; Metazoa; Arthropoda; Insecta; Hymenoptera; Evaniidae
Description: eukaryotic LSU rRNA
Source: RNAcentral
CCUGAGAAACCCGAAAGAUCGAAUGGGGAGAUUCACCGUCAGCGACGUCGGCUUCUCGGCGGUUCGCGAUGCGCGCGGCGCCCUCGCGGGCGUUCGCGUCGCACGCGUCCGCCGUGUCUCUCUCUCUCUCGAGAGGGAGUCCAUGCUCGGCGGCGUCGGCGUGCACUUCUCCCCUAGUAGGACGUCGCGACCCGUUGGGUGUCGGUCUACGGCCCGGGCUGUCGCCUGUCCCGUCGCUUCGGCGUCGCGGGGCAGACACCCGGUGUCGCCCGACCGGCUGCCCGGCGGUACUCGCACGGUAUCUGGCCGCACACUCGAACUGCGUCACUCGUGCAGGCCCGCCGCAAGCGCGGUCAGUGUAUACCCGGAGGUGCGGACCCAGCGCCGUCCCCGGGCCUGGCCCGCUGUUCGCCGGCGGUGUCCUCUGACAGGCCGUACGUCCGCCGUCAAACGCGGACGUGGGAUACCGGUCGGCGACGCUACUGCUUUGGGUACUUUCAGG